UAACGCGAAGAACCUUACCAAAUCUUGACAUCCUCUGACCCCUCUAGAGAUAGAGUUUUCCCCUUCGGGGGACAGAGUGACAGGUGGUGCAUGGUGGUCGUCAGCUCGUGUCGUGAGAUGUUGGGUUAAGUCCCGCAACGAGCGCAACCCUAAAGCUUAGUUGCCUUUAUUAAGUUGGGCACUCUAUGUUGACUGCCGGUGACAAACCGGAGGAAGGUGGGGAUGACGUCAAAUCAUCAUGCCCCUUAUGAUUUGGGCUUCACACGUGCUACAAUGGACAAUACAAAGGGUAGCGAAACCGCGAGGUCAAGCAAAUCCCAUAAAGUUGUUCUCAGUUCGGAUUGUAGUCUGCAACUCAACUACAUGAUGCUGGAAUCGCUAGUAAU
Molecule: ribosomal RNA, 386 nt
Filed under: uncultured bacterium
Lineage: Bacteria
Description: bacterial SSU rRNA
Rfam family: Bacterial small subunit ribosomal RNA
Source: RNAcentral